AGAGUUUGAUCCUGGCUCAGGAUGAACGCUGGCGGCGUGCCUAAUACAUGCAAGUCGAACGCGCGGAUCAGGAGCUUGCUCCUGUGACGCGAGUGGCGGACGGGUGAGUAACACGUAGGCAACCUGCCCAUCAGACUGGGAUAACCACGGGAAACCGUGGCUAAUACCGGAUAAUCCUUUUCCACACAGGUGGGAAAGUUGAAAGGCGGUCUUUUGGCUGUCACUGAUGGAUGGGCCUGCGGCGCAUUAGCUGGUUGGUGGGGUAACGGCCCACCAAGGCGACGAUGCGUAGCCGACCUGAGAGGGUGAUCGGCCACACUGGGACUGAGACACGGCCCAGACUCCUACGGGAGGCAGCAGUAGGGAAUCUUCCGCAAUGGACGAAAGUCUGACGGAGCAACGCCGCGUGAGUGAAGAAGGGUUUCGGCUCGUAAAACUCUGUUGUCAGGGAAGAACGCCGACGGGAGUAACUGCCCGUCGGGUGACGGUACCUGACCAGAAAGCCACGGCUAACUACGUGCCAGCAGCCGCGGUAAUACGUAGGUGGCAAGCGUUAUCCGGAAUUAUUGGGCGUAAAGCGCGCGUAGGCGGUUCGUUAAGUCUGAUGUGAAAGCCCCCGGCUCAACCGGGGAGGGUCAUUGGAAACUGGCGGACUUGAGUGCAGAAGAGGAGAGUGGAAUUCCAUGUGUAGCGGUGAAAUGCGCAGAGAUAUGGAGGAACACCAGUGGCGAAGGCGGCUCUCUGGUCUGCAACUGACGCUGAGGUGCGAAAGCGUGGGGAUCAAACAGGAUUAGAUACCCUGGUAGUCCACGCCGUAAACGAU
RNAcentral lists this ribosomal RNA (823 nucleotides) under marine metagenome. RNAcentral's name for it is "bacterial SSU rRNA". It matches the Rfam family "Bacterial small subunit ribosomal RNA", at positions 8 to 810 of the family's 1533-position model. The record is from RNAcentral.